This 373-nucleotide ribosomal RNA is filed under the name uncultured organism. Its description in RNAcentral is "partial 16S ribosomal RNA". It matches the Rfam family "Bacterial small subunit ribosomal RNA", at positions 527 to 896 of the family's 1533-position model. The record is from RNAcentral.
GUAGGUGGCAAGCGUUGUCCGGAAUUAUUGGGCGUAAAGCGCGCGCAGGCGGUUCUUUAAGUCUGAUGUGGAAGCCCACGGCUCAACCGUGGAGGGUCAUUGGAAACUGGAGAACUUGAGUACAGAAGAGGAAAGCGGAAUUCCACGUGUAGCGGUGAAAUGCGUAGAGAUGUGGAGGAACACCAGUGGCGAAGGCGGCUUUCUGGUCUGUAACUGACGCUGAGGCGCGAAAGCGUGGGGAGCAAACAGGAUUAGAUACCCUGGUAGUCCACGCCGUAAACGAUGAGUGCUAAGUGUUAGGGGGUUUCCGCCCCCCUUAGUGCUGCAGCUAACGCAUUAAGCACUCCGCCCUGGGAGUACGGCCGCAAGGCUG